UCAAGGAGGAAGGGGUGGGGAGAAGUGAUCUUACUCUAAGACAUUAUGAGCAACUACAGAAGGGGAAGGUAGGAUUUCCACUUGGUUUGUAUUGGUAAAGCCAAUACAGUUUGGACUACGAUGUGUGUUUAGCCAAAUUUGUGCAGUUUUAAAUUUCAAAUGUGAUGAAUUUUACUGGUAAUAGUCUUCAAAGGUGAACCUAACUGAAGUUAGGUCAUGAGCUUAGUUUGUAUGUUGAAUGCUGUCACUAGGUAAUCAUUACACAAUCAGUAUCCAGCAAAAUCCAUUGCUUUCAGUGCCCAUUAUGACAUAUUCCAGUUACACGGUUAACUUUUGGACAGCUGUGCAGUCAGACCAU
Molecule: long non-coding RNA, 358 nt
Organism: Pezoporus flaviventris
Lineage: Eukaryota; Metazoa; Chordata; Aves; Psittaciformes; Psittacidae
Exons: 2
Source: RefSeq, a predicted model, not a curated record